This 818-nucleotide ribosomal RNA is filed under the name uncultured Bacillota bacterium. RNAcentral describes it as "bacterial SSU rRNA". It matches the Rfam family "Bacterial small subunit ribosomal RNA", at positions 71 to 896 of the family's 1533-position model. The record is from RNAcentral. Lineage: Bacteria; Bacillati; Bacillota.
AAAGGGUAGCAAUACCUGAGUAAAGCGGCGCACGGGUGAGUAACACGUGGAUAACCUGCCUCAAAGUGGGGAAUAACACCGGGAAACCGGUGCUAAUACCGCAUAUUCUGACGAGAUCUGUGGAUUUUGUCAGGAAAGGAGCAAUUCGCUAUGAGAGGGGUCCGCGGCUGAUUAGCUAGUUGGUGAGGUAAUGGCUCACCAAGGCCACGAUCAGUAGCCGGUCUGAGAGGACGGUCGGCCACACUGGAACUGAGACACGGUCCAGACUCCUACGGGAGGCAGCAGUGGGGAAUUUUUCGCAAUGGGGGCAACCCUGACGAAGCAAUGCCGCGUGGAUGAUGAAGUAUCUCGGUACGUAAAAUCCUUUCGACGGGGACGAAACCGCAAGGUUGACGGUACCCGUAGAAGAAGCCCCGGCUAACUCCGUGCCAGCAGCCGCGGUAAUACGGGGGGGGCAAGCGUUGUUCGGAAUUACUGGGCGUAAAGGGUGCGUAGGCGGCUUUCUAAGUCGGAUGUGAAAACUCUGGGCUCAACCCAGAGCCUGCAUCCGAAACUGGAGAGCUAGGGUUCUGGAGGGGAAAGCGGAAUUCCUGGUGUAGCGGUGAAAUGCGUAGAUAUCAGGAGGAACACCGGUGGCGAAGGCGGCUUUCUGGACAGAUACCGACGCUGAGGCACGAAAGCUAGGGGAGCAAACAGGAUUAGAUACCCUGGUAGUCCUAGCCCUAAACUAUGGAUACUUGCUGUGGGGGGGAUUGAAGCCCCUUGUGGCGAAGCUAACGCAUUAAGUAUCCCGCCUGGGGAGUACGGUCGCAAGGCUG